AGGAAGGAACAAGCCCCGCCUUCCCCUGCUCUGUACCCUCACGUGCUCAGACACAGAGAGAGACGGAGGUGCACGAGACCAUCGCUGAUUUUCACCGCCAAGCUUGUUGCUGGAAAAUAACUAUUAACUUGAUAAAUUGAGCAAAUAUCCAUACCGGAGAUCUGCAUGGACCUUGGAGAAACGGACCUGAUUUGUUGUGAACAUUUUGGACUUUGAAACCAUCGCGGCUAGGUUUUUUGGGGGGAUCGUGAGACCUGGAUUUCUUCCUGACGAGGAAGAUGGCGAGCCUUUCCCUUUGAACCGAACCACAGCCAUUCCGAGUUGGCCCAGAAGGGCAGGUUGCUCUUCUUUCACGAACAAUUGCAACAGUGCGGGGUCAUCUGCCUCAGUCUCACCUCAUCUGAAGCAUCUUCUGUCAGGCCAGUGGUCAGCAUGUCCUUCUUCACUACAUCCAUGAAUCUCCUUUGUGGUUUUCCUUUUUUCUUUCUGCCUGACAGCUUUAUCUUCAACAUCAUUUGCCCAGUAUAUCCACUAUCCCUCCAUAGCACAUGUCCAAGACAUCUCAAACUUGCCUCUCCAACUUUGUCUCUCUUUUAAAUCGUGUGCAAAGCCUUAUUUGUCCCUAAAUGUCAGAAACCGAUCAACAUGGUUAAAAUCAGCUCUAUCCAUUUGCAUUUUAGUUAUAACACUUUGAAGAAUUACAUUUUGGGUUUUUAUCUUUCUGACAUAAAGAACGCUGCAGGAAAUCACUGUUCUGUAUAAAACUGAACAAUAACUCUUCAUUCUGUGGCACAUCAACAUACCUAUCAGGCAUUUUUCUGUAUUAUACCUUCUUGCAGCUCUUUCUCAGAUUUAUACCAUACUUAUUAUUUAUCAAUGAAAUUUGAACUACUCUCUUGGAUAAUCUCAGUCUUACUUUUUACUCUUUAUUACCUUACCUAAUUUGUAUUUUUUAUUUUUGUCAUUUUUUGUCACUGUUGUAUAUGUAAAGUGAUCUAUUUCUCUAUGAAUCUAUAAAACAGAAGCAGAAAAAUAGUUUGACAGCAGCGUGCUUUACUUUUCAAUAAUUUCGUUAACACCUUAAACAUGUUGCCAUUUGAAAUGCACAUUUGCUACACGUAUUAUACCAAGAUUUGUACUCAUAUUCCCUAUAUGUUUUAUAUUUUGAAUGAGUAUAUAAAACAGAAAAAAACUAAAGCGGUUCAGAGGAAAUAUGUGACAAAGAUAUAUGAAAAAGCAGUUUUAACCCACUAGAACUGCCCUGGAUUCCAUACCGUACAUGUGUAUUUAUGUUUAGAUGGAGGUUUUAGCCUCUCUUUUUUCUUUUACUUCAAUAAAUAAAAAGGUUACAGAUAACAGACAGUUUGUUCUGGUCACUGAACACCAGAGCUCUUAUAAAGAGAGCUCAGCGGCUCGUGCAAUUUUUGAGAGGAGCUCACCUUCCCUCUCCCACCCUCAGCACUAUAUCAGCACUAUAGACAGUUUAUUGACCACAUGCAUGUGUGGUCAGGAGCCUGUAGAGAGUAGUAAGGUCAGUGGAGAAGAUCACUGGGCCCCACUUCUCCACAUCUAAGAUUUUGCACAAAAACGCUGCCUAACCAGCUCAAACAAAUUCCUGGAUGUUUCAAAUAUUCAAUAUGGAGAUUCUCAGGGAUUUCCCGACAUUCACAGGAUAAUGUUGGACUGUACAUUUCUCUGCAUGUCGAUAAUCAGUUCAUAAGAAUUCAUUCUGUUUCUGGUUUUGCAUUUCUGUGUGACUGUGAAUGUGUUGCUUUGCUUGGAAAAGUAACCAUGGUUCAUUCAUGCAGCAACAACACUGCACUGCUGCACAAUAGGGUAAAUCCAGGCAACACAACAGACAAUCUUAUAUUUGUAAGGUAAACAUCAGUAAACUUGGUGUUUAAUCAGGCUCUAUAUAUUGAGCAUUUUUUCCAUAAUACUCAAGAUAUAAUUAACAAAUCCAACUGAUUUCUAACUUUUUAUCAGAUUUAAGUCUUACCUGCAGAUUAGAGGGAUUUAAAGCUGGAUAAAAGAUCUUAAUUAAUAGAAAAAAUGUAUGGGCUGUUGAAAGCUUGACCCUCCUCCUCACAGCCUUCAACAUGGCUGAUAAGAGCAUUUGGAGGUGAAACUGGAAAAUCAUUUCAUUAUUGGAUAGCAAGGUUGUAAGGUAGCUCUGCCGUGAUAACCGAUACAAAUCAGGGCAAACACUGACUCCUCUCUGUGGAAGCAGACACAGAGGAGAGGCUGGAAACGUUUUUGGGGAGAGAAGGCGAUGAGUGUGUGGAUAAUCCUUUAAAAGUACAUGUCGUCUGCAGGCAGCCAUGUUUAAAAAGUUGUCCUCGUCUGCUGUUAUUUCUGUCACAGAUUAGCUCUGUUUCUCUGGGGACUGUUAUUUUUCCAUUAGAGAUUAGACCAGUGUUAUCUCCUAUUAAGGAGAGGUUGGAAGAGUCAAGGUGUUCUUAAACUGAAGCUGGGGAACUGUAGAGCAAUCUGAUAAAUAUUCUCUGCAGACCGGGAGAGCUAAUGCUCCAUUUAAACUCUGUCUCUUGACUUGUCAUUGCCUUCUACCUUCCUCUGUCUGAGUUCUUUCCUUCAUCUUCCACCCUCAUCAGUCUGUUUUACUGUUAGACUCAAUCACAGACUGGUGAGUCACUGUGACCAUGGAGGAAAACUUGGUUUAAAAACAAUCAGCAGCGCACUGUAGCCCGACAUUUGCAUGAUAAUCCAACCGCAUCUCAACGAUGACACAUGAUGCUGCCUAAAAUCAAUGUUAUGUCUACAUGUGAACCAGCUUCUCGUUGCCCCUGUUAUAUUUGUUGGUUUUGUUGCUUGUCUUUGUGUUUCUAGUUUAUUGAGAGCUUGAAAAAAAAGCUCUCAAGGCUACCAAACCUACACAGACAUUUUCUGGUUUCAGCUUUUCAUUUUUAGUGCUAGCCUGUUGUGUGUUUACCGUGUCUUCUUUACUUCCUAAUUUUUGUUUCUUUAACUCCAUUAUGAUUACAUCAUCUCUAUUGUCUUUUAGCUGCCUGGUUUCAUUAUUAAUCACCAUCAUGUAUAGUCCCGUUUUUAACGCUCGCUCUCAUCCUUUACCUUUAGUUAUGUAACCUGUCUCUGCGCCCUGCACUUCCUGGCUCAUGUAUCCUGGAGCCUUUAGCAGGUGUAAUUAACCUGAACACAGUGCUGUCAGAUGUUUAUCCAGUCAAGUCAUUAGACAUUAUAUACCUUGUCAUAUAUUUGAAAAAUAAUGCUUGUGUUGUUUUUGUUACUUUGUUGUUGCAAUAAAUAAGAAAAUAUGUAUUUCCCCUGUCUCUUCAUGAUGUAAUUU
Long non-coding RNA from Oreochromis niloticus (Nile tilapia), 3325 nucleotides. RefSeq lists it as uncharacterized. The record is from RefSeq and is a predicted model, not a curated record. NCBI's taxonomy places the organism in Eukaryota, Metazoa, Chordata, Actinopteri, Cichliformes, Cichlidae. The transcript has 3 exons.